AUGGAUCCCACCACGUUCCCUAGCUACGGCAGCAGCGACGCCCCUAUGGCAAUCGCGGCGCCUGCUCGGGCGCCAGCGCAUGCCAGAUCUAGCAGCCAGGGGCUGACACAGUUCAAAAGGUUCUGGACUGUGGAGGAAGACACGCUGCUCAGGGCGAAGGUGCAGGAAUUCGGCGAAGGGAGUUGGAUGCAGGUCGCAUCGUACCUCCCCAGCCGGAGUGGGAAGCAGUGCCGGGAGAGAUGGGUCAACCAACUUGACCCCAACAUUGAGAGGAAAAUAUGGACCGACGCGGAAGACAUCAAGUUGAUCGAGCUGCAUCACACCUGUGAGAAAACAACGUUAAGAACCACUGGAAUGCCACUAAGCGCAGUCUGA
RNAcentral lists this ribosomal RNA (375 nucleotides) under Triticum aestivum (bread wheat). RNAcentral's name for it is "partial small subunit ribosomal RNA". Lineage: Eukaryota; Viridiplantae; Streptophyta; Magnoliopsida; Poales; Poaceae. The record is from RNAcentral.